Molecule: ribosomal RNA, 486 nt
Filed under: uncultured bacterium
Lineage: Bacteria
Description: partial 16S ribosomal RNA
Rfam family: Bacterial small subunit ribosomal RNA
Source: RNAcentral
GAUGAACGCUGGCGGCGUGCUUAACACAUACAAGUCGAACGGAAAGGCCCCAGCUUGCUGGGGUACUCGAGUGGCGAACGGGUGAGUAACACGUGGGUGAUCUGCCCUGCACUUUGGGAUAAGCUUGGGAAACUGGGUCUAAUACCGCAUAUGACCACUUCUUGGAUGUGGUGGUGGAAAGCUUUUGCGGUGUGGGAUGGGCCGGCGGCCGAUCAGCUUGUUGGUGGGGUAAUGGCCUACCAAGGCGGCGACGGGUAUCCGGCCUGAGAGGGUGUACGGACACAUUGGGACUGAGAUACGGCCCAGACUCCUACGGGAGGCAGCAGUGGGGAAUAUUGCACAAUGGGCGCAAGCCUGAUGCAGCGACGCCGCGUGGGGGAUGAAGGCCUUCGGGUUGUAAACUCCUUUCGCUAUCGACGAAGCCACUUGUGGUGACGGUAGGUAGAUAAGAAGCACCGGCUAACUACGUGCCAGCAGCCGCGGUAA